GACGAACGCUGGCGGCGUGCCUAAUACAUGCAAGUAGAACGCUGAAGCUUGGUGCUUGCACCGAGCGGAUGAGUUGCGAACGGGUGAGUAACGCGUAGGUAACCUGCCUGGUAGCGGGGGGUAACUAUUGGAAACGAUAGCUAAUACCGCCUAAGAGUAGAUGUUGCAUGACAUUUGCUUACAAGGUGCAAUUGCAUCACUACCAGAUGGACCUGCGUUGUAUUAGCUAGUUGGUGAGGUAACGGCUCACCAAGGCAACGAUACAUAGCCGACCUGAGAGGGUGAUCGGCCACACUGGGACUGAGACACGGUCCAGACUCCUACGGGAGGCAGCAGUAGGGAAUCUUCGGCAAUGGACGGAAGUCUGACCGAGCAACGCCGCGUGAGUGAAGAAGGUUUUCGGAUCGUAAAGCUCUGUUGUAAGGGAAGAACGAGUGUGAGAGUGGAAAGUUCAGACUGUGACGGUAUCUUACCAGAAAGGGACGGCUAACUACGU
Molecule: ribosomal RNA, 496 nt
Filed under: uncultured bacterium
Lineage: Bacteria
Description: partial 16S ribosomal RNA
Rfam family: Bacterial small subunit ribosomal RNA
Source: RNAcentral